GCUGCUCUCAAGGCAGCAUCACAGACCUGCAGCCUAUGCUCCCGCACAACACCUGUUUAUUUAUGGAUACGCUGGCCUACUUUUCUCAGUCUCUACAUGUGGAAUGGGAGAAUUUAUCUUUUAUCUGCAGCCGUACUUUACAUGACUUGUAUUUAUACUCAUAUUUAUCAGAAAUCUGUGUAUGAGGCAGGAUUGUCUAGCUGUGUUAGGGUGUUGGGACUCACAUAUGAAAGGUUCUGGAUAUUCAACCCUGGUGUCUGUGGUCUGACCUGCUUGGUAUCCUCGAGCAAGAUUACCCAUACUUACUUACCCCUAUUUACUCCUUAAUUGACAUGAGUCUGAAUUCACUGUAAGUCAUAUUGGAUGAAAGCCUCUGAUCUUAGUAGACACGUGGCUUUUCGCUAUUGUAUGUAUGUCUUUUGUAAAUGAUCAUGAUGUUAUUUGGUCCACUUAUGCCCUAUAUAAUAGGGCCCUUAGAGUGUCAACAAUUUGUAAUGUUGUCCGAAUGGUGAGUGUACAAAUAUGGGACCAUACAUAGUGCACUGCUUAAUACCCACAAUGCACCGUUAAAUAAGUGUACACCUGAUCAUGGACCUAUUAAAGAAAGGACAGCGGACUAAAACAUGGCCGCCCAUUCAUUACUAUGAAAACUGCUCAAUGGCGCAGGGGAACAUCAAGGAGAGAUUUGCUUCCGCAUCCUGGGCGCCUAGCCACGCCCUGGUGCAUGACGUGCCGGAUGCAUAAAUAUUCUCGUUAACUAGCAUUGUUAGCAUUGUAGCAUCAUGAGUGAGAGGUCUGAGCGAGCACAGUCACAUUGUUUACCGACCAUGGAAGUACAAGUUACUAACCCCCCGGAUUAUUCUCUAUAUGUGAUCUUUGAAUUACACUCCUCCUGCCAUCUGGACAACAAUUAUUAUGCAACAAUUAUUUUGCCCAGCCGAAACAACAUUUCUUUCACUACGACUCCUUUCAGCUGCCCACCCCUCCUU
Long non-coding RNA from Gadus macrocephalus (Pacific cod), 989 nucleotides. RefSeq lists it as uncharacterized. The transcript has 2 exons. NCBI's taxonomy places the organism in Eukaryota, Metazoa, Chordata, Actinopteri, Gadiformes, Gadidae. The record is from RefSeq and is a predicted model, not a curated record.